AUGAACGCUGGCGGCGUGCUUAACACAUGCAAGUCGAACGAUGAACCUCACUUGUGGGGGGAUUAGUGGCGAACGGGUGAGUAACACGUGAGUAACCUGCCCUUGACUCUGGGAUAAGCCUGGGAAACCGGGUCUAAUACUGGAUACGACCUUCCCGCGCAUGCGGUGUUGGUGGAAAGCUUUUGUGGUUUUGGAUGGACUCGCGGCCUAUCAGCUUGUUGGUGGGGUAAUGGCCUACCAAGGCGACGACGGGUAGCCGGCCUGAGAGGGUGACCGGCCACACUGGGACUGAGACACGGCCCAGACUCCUACGGGAGGCAGCAGUGGGGAAUAUUGCACAAUGGGCGCAAGCCUGAUGCAGCGACGCCGCGUGAGGGAUGAAGGCCUUCGGGUUGUAAACCUCUUUCAGUAGGGAAGAAGCUGAUUCCUUUUGGGGUUGGUGACGGUACCUGCAGAAGAAGCGCCGGCUAACUACGU
Molecule: ribosomal RNA, 477 nt
Filed under: uncultured bacterium
Lineage: Bacteria
Description: bacterial SSU rRNA
Rfam family: Bacterial small subunit ribosomal RNA
Source: RNAcentral